RNAcentral lists this ribosomal RNA (501 nucleotides) under uncultured bacterium. Its description in RNAcentral is "partial 16S ribosomal RNA". It matches the Rfam family "Bacterial small subunit ribosomal RNA", at positions 30 to 523 of the family's 1533-position model. The record is from RNAcentral.
AUUGAACGCUGGCGGAAUGCCUUACACAUGCAAGUCGAACGGCAGCACGGGGGGCAACCCUGGUGGCGAGUGGCGAACGGGUGAGUAAUACAUCGGAACGUGCCCAGUCGUGGGGGAUAACGUAGCGAAAGUUACGCUAAUACCGCAUACGAUCUACGGAUGAAAGCGGGGGACCGUAAGGCCUCGCGCGAUUGGAGCGGCCGAUGUCAGAUUAGGUAGUUGGUGAGGUAAAGGCUCACCAAGCCGACGAUCUGUAGCUGGUCUGAGAGGACGACCAGCCACACUGGGACUGAGGCACGGCCCAGACUCCUACGGGAGGCAGCAGUGGGGAAUUUUGGACAAUGGGCGCAAGCCUGAUCCAGCCAUUCCGCGUGCAGGACGAAGGCCUUCGGGUUGUAAACUGCUUUUGUACGGAACGAAAAGGCUCUGGUUAAUACCUGGGGCUCAUGACGGUACCGUAAGAAUAAGCACCGGCUAACUACGUGCCAGCCGCCGCCGUAA